CUGGUGUGUUUGCAGCUAUAAUGCUAAAAUUGGAAUGAUAGAAGAAUGGUAGCAUGACCCCUCUGCAAGGAUGGCAUGCAAAUUAUGAAGCGUUUCGUAUUUUA
This is a small nuclear RNA of Mustela putorius furo (domestic ferret), 104 nucleotides long. The record is from Ensembl. NCBI's taxonomy places the organism in Eukaryota, Metazoa, Chordata, Mammalia, Carnivora, Mustelidae.